RNAcentral lists this transfer RNA (70 nucleotides) under Curculionoidea sp. 23 KM-2017. RNAcentral's name for it is "tRNA-Leu". The record is from RNAcentral. Lineage: Eukaryota; Metazoa; Arthropoda; Insecta; Coleoptera.
AUUAUUUUGGCAGAUUAGUGCGGUGGAUUUAGGAUCUUUUUAUGUAAAUAUAAUUUUAUUACAGAUAAUA